UUGAACGCUGGCGGCAUGCUUUACACAUGCAAGUCGAACGGUAACAGGCCUUCGGGUGCUGACGAGUGGCGAACGGGUGAGUAUGCAUCGGAACGUACCCGGUCGUGGGGGAUAACGCAGCGAAAGCUGUGCUAAUACCGCAUACGAUCUGAGGAUGAAAGCGGGGGACCGAGCAGCGAUGCUUGGCCUCGCGCGAUCGGAGCGGCCGAUGUCGGAUU
Molecule: ribosomal RNA, 218 nt
Filed under: uncultured beta proteobacterium
Lineage: Bacteria; Pseudomonadati; Pseudomonadota; Betaproteobacteria
Description: partial 16S ribosomal RNA
Rfam family: Bacterial small subunit ribosomal RNA
Source: RNAcentral